Non-coding RNA from Otolemur garnettii (small-eared galago), 276 nucleotides. NCBI's taxonomy places the organism in Eukaryota, Metazoa, Chordata, Mammalia, Primates, Galagidae. The record is from Rfam.
GCUGAAUGCGGUGGUGUGCACCUGUAGUCCCAGCUACUCAGGAGGAUGGCUUGAGUCCAGGAGUUCUGGGCUAUAGUAUGCUAUGACAAUCGGGUGUCCGUACUACGUUCAGCAUCAAUAUGCUGGGAGUUAGAGGCCACCAGGUUGCCUAAGGAGGGGUGACCCGGCCCAGGUCGGAAAUGGAGCAGGUCAAAACUCCCGGGCUGAUCAGUAGUGGGAUCACGCCUGUGAAUAGCCACUGCCCUCUAGCCUGGGCAACAAAGUAAGACCCCGUCU